UCCAACUCUCCCCUCCCAGACUCCCAUGAAAAGAAUAGAGGGCGAUGCAGCCGCUGGAACGGAGCUCUGAAGUACUGCUGCAACGUGGAGAUGGGAAUAUGCCAUCAGCUCCACUACCUUGCUCCACAGAGGGACGCAAUGAAGGAAACCAACCAGUCUGGAGGAUGUGGAACCACUGGGGAACCUCUCCC
Long non-coding RNA from Lagopus leucura (white-tailed ptarmigan), 191 nucleotides. RefSeq lists it as uncharacterized. NCBI's taxonomy places the organism in Eukaryota, Metazoa, Chordata, Aves, Galliformes, Phasianidae. The transcript is spliced from 3 exons. The record is from RefSeq and is a predicted model, not a curated record.